Molecule: ribosomal RNA, 253 nt
Filed under: uncultured bacterium
Lineage: Bacteria
Description: partial 16S ribosomal RNA
Rfam family: Bacterial small subunit ribosomal RNA
Source: RNAcentral
UACGGGGGGGGUAAGCGUUGUUCGGAAUUACUGGGCGUAAAGCGCGUGUAGGCGGUGCGGUAAGUCGGGUGUGAAAGCCCUGGGCUCAACCCAGGAAGUGCAUUCGAUACUACCGUACUAGAGUCCCGGAGAGGUUGGUGGAACUCUCGGUGUAGAGGUGAAAUUCGUAGAUAUCGAGAAGAACACCGGUGGCGAAGGCGGCCAACUGGACGGUGACUGACGCUGAGACGCGAAAGCGUGGGGAGCAAACAGG